CAGUAGCCGCGGUAACACGUAGGGUGCAAGCGUUAAUCGGAAUUACUGGGCGUAAAGCGUGCGCAGGCGGUUAUAUAAGUCAGAUGUGAAAUCCCCGGGCACAACCUGGGAACUGCAUUUGAGACUGUAUGGCUAGAGUGUGUCAGAGGGGGGUAGAAUUCCACGUGUAGCAGUGAAAUGCGUAGAUAUGUGGAGGAAUACCGAUGGCGAAGGCAGCCCCCUGGGAUAACACUGACGCUCAUGCACGAAAGCGUGGGGGGCAAACAGGAUUAGAACCCCAGUAGUCCCUGUCUCUUAUACA
RNAcentral lists this ribosomal RNA (301 nucleotides) under uncultured bacterium. RNAcentral describes it as "partial 16S ribosomal RNA". It matches the Rfam family "Bacterial small subunit ribosomal RNA", at positions 509 to 808 of the family's 1533-position model. The record is from RNAcentral.